RNAcentral lists this small RNA (368 nucleotides) under Pan troglodytes (chimpanzee). RNAcentral's name for it is "processed transcript". Lineage: Eukaryota; Metazoa; Chordata; Mammalia; Primates; Hominidae. The record is from RNAcentral.
GUUACCUAACCAAACUCCUGCAAAACCACACCACCUAUGCCUGUGAUGGGGACUAUUUCAAUCUACAGUGCCCUCGGCAUUCUACGAUAAGUGUCCAAUCAGCUUUUUAUGGGCAAGAUUACCAAAUGUGUAGUUCCCAGAAGCCUGCCUCCCAGAGGGAAGACAGCUUAACCUGUGUGGCACCCACCACCUUCCAGUUCCCAAGAACAUACUCACAGUGAUUGAUCCAGCCAUUGCUAAUCUAAAACCUUCUUUGAAGCAGAAAGAUGGUGAAUAUGGUAUGAACUCCGACCCCAGGGAAUCAAAGGUUCUGAGGAAAGAUGGAAUUCUUGUUAGCGACUCUCUGGCAGCCUUUGCUUACAUUAGAG